GAUGAAGAACGCAGCGAAAUGCGAUAAGUAAUGUGAAUUGCAGAAUUCAGUGAAUCAUCGAAUCUUUGAACGCACCUUGCGCUCUCUGGUAUUCCGGAGAGCAUGCCUGUUUGAGUAUCAUGAAAUCUCAACCAUUAGGGUUUCUUAAUGGCUUGGAUUUGGGCGUUGCCAGUUGCCUGGCUCGCCUUAAAAGAGUUAGCGUGUUUAACUUGUCAUAUCUGGCGUAAUAAGUUUCGCUGGUGUACGACUUGAGAAGUGCGCUUCUAAUCGUCCUCGGACAAUUCUUGAACUCUGGUCUCAAAUCAGGUAGGACUACCCGCUGAACUUAAGCAUAUCAAUAAGCGGAGGA
This 349-nucleotide unclassified non-coding RNA is filed under the name soil metagenome. RNAcentral's name for it is "partial contains 5.8S ribosomal RNA, internal transcribed spacer 2, and large subunit ribosomal RNA". The stretch from base 1 to 120 matches the Rfam family "5.8S ribosomal RNA", at positions 35 to 154 of the family's 154-position model. The record is from RNAcentral.